ACCAGAGGCCCCAGCACCACCAGAGGCACCAGUGGCCCCAGCAGAGGCACCAGUGGCACCAGCACCGGAGGCCUCAGCAUCUAACAGCAGAUUAGUACUCGUGUUCUGUCCAGGAACCAAACUAUCGCGCACUUCAACGUACGCGUCUUCGUCAGCAUCAUUCCAGUCGUCAGGGUCGAGGCCUGAAACGGACUCCAGCCAACACCUAGACGCGUCGUUCCGAGACGACAUCGAUUCUGCAUCCUGCCAAACCUGGAUAUCGUUUUUCCAGGUGUUAAGUAGUUCACUUGGGGACUCGUAGCGUGUCUCCAGGCCACUUUCCAUCAUAUCUCUGUAAUCGCAAUUAUCUGCACGAUGGACUGCAUUCAAGUUAUUCUUUGUAGGUUCAUCUUCAAUUUUAUUAGUUUGUGUCAGUAAGCAAUUUCCUAAAAUAUUUCCUUCCAUUCGUGUCUUUUCAAGACUUAUGCCUUUA
Molecule: non-coding RNA, 472 nt
Organism: Procambarus clarkii (red swamp crayfish)
Lineage: Eukaryota; Metazoa; Arthropoda; Malacostraca; Decapoda; Cambaridae
Source: RefSeq, a predicted model, not a curated record